GACGAACGCUGGCGGCGUGCUUAACACAUGCAAGUCGAACGGAAAGGCCCUGCUUUUGUGGGGUGCUCGAGUGGCGAAAGGGUGAGUAACACGUGAGUAACCUGCCCUUGACUUUGGGAUAACUUCAGGAAACUGGGGCUAAUACCGGAUAGGAGCUCCUGCUGCAUGGUGGGGGUUGGAAAGUUUCGGCGGGUGGGGAUGGACUCGCGGCUUAUCAGCUUGUUGGUGGGGUAGUGGCUUACCAAGGCUUUGACGGGUAGCCGGCCUGAGAGGGUGACCGGCCACAUUGGGACUGAGAUACGGCCCAGACUCCUACGGGGGGCAGCAGUGGGGAAUAUUGCACAAUGGGCGGAAGCCUGAUGCAGCAACGCCGCGUGCGGGAUGACGGCCUUCGGGUUGUAAACCGCUUUCGCCUGUGACGAAGCGUGAGUGACGGUAAUGGGUAAAGAAGCACCGGCUAACUACGUG
RNAcentral lists this ribosomal RNA (468 nucleotides) under uncultured bacterium. RNAcentral's name for it is "partial 16S ribosomal RNA". It matches the Rfam family "Bacterial small subunit ribosomal RNA", at positions 28 to 507 of the family's 1533-position model. The record is from RNAcentral.